Molecule: long non-coding RNA, 761 nt
Organism: Poecilia latipinna (sailfin molly)
Lineage: Eukaryota; Metazoa; Chordata; Actinopteri; Cyprinodontiformes; Poeciliidae
Exons: 2
Source: RefSeq, a predicted model, not a curated record
UCGCAUCGAAACUCGGCCCGCUCCGCCAUGACGGACGUUAAAACAACCUGUGCGUUCCUGUAAAACCUGUCGAAAAAAACGCAUAUGUGGUGGCCUAAUAUCGCUUUUAUUAAGCUGAUUUCGCAGUAAAAAGUGGUCAUAGGAUACUUCGCGGUCAAACAGACACGGAUACAAACCAAACCUGUCAUUUUAUUGUAUAACUUUUAACGAGGAGCGAUGGGCAGCAGCCGUCAGCCAUAAUGACUGGCUACUCGGUGUAACCGCGGACUUGCAGCGAACACGUUUUACAAGGAGUUUUUUCACCUGGUUCAUCUGAGGUUACUGGGAGUCUUUUCUGUGGAGUUAUUAGACUGCUGAGCAGACAAAUCCUCCAAGAAAGCCAAGUGGCCGAUUCCCUCUCCUGUGUGAUGAGUUCCUUGUGCAGAAUAUAACGUUUUAUUGCUGCAGCCUCCUCAGAGUGUGACUGUCAGCGGCAAGCCUCAGGUCUAACAUGUGACCACGGCCACAGCAGUCGUUUCUUGGUUCUACCUUUUUAUUCUCCAAAUGGAGCGUUGCCACAUGCAGGGAAGGCAACCUCACGUGUGUCCACCCAUUGUGUGCAGGUAUAACUGGCUCACUUUAAAAUGAUGGCGCUCUUUUUGAGAAAAUGUUGGUUCUCUCAAGCAGGAAAUCAGGUGGGACUCAUGGCAGACCUCCUUGGGAUUGACUCUUAUUCAUCAAUUUUGAAUAUGCAGCUAUUAAAUAUUCAUUUAUUUAUCAAG